GAUGAACGCUGGCGGCGUGCUUAACACAUGCAAGUCGAACGGAACUGUUCGAACAGAUUUCUUCAGAUUGACGUUCUUAUAGUUUAGUGGCGGACGGGUGAGUAACGCGUGGGUAACCUGCCUCACACAGGGGGACAACAGUUGGAAACGACUGCUAAUACCGCAUAAGCGCACAGUACCGCAUGGUACAGUGUGAAAAACUCCGGUGGUGUGAGAUGGACCCGCGUCUGAUUAGCUUGUUGGUGAGGUAACGGCCCACCAAGGCGACGAUCAGUAGCCGGCCUGAGAGGGUGAACGGCCACAUUGGGACUGAGACACGGCCCAAACUCC
RNAcentral lists this ribosomal RNA (330 nucleotides) under uncultured Ruminococcus sp. Its description in RNAcentral is "bacterial SSU rRNA". It matches the Rfam family "Bacterial small subunit ribosomal RNA", at positions 28 to 339 of the family's 1533-position model. The record is from RNAcentral. Lineage: Bacteria; Bacillati; Bacillota; Clostridia; Eubacteriales; Oscillospiraceae.